This 573-nucleotide long non-coding RNA is filed under the name Carica papaya (papaya). RNAcentral's name for it is "long non-coding RNA (CPAP_LNC002731)". The record is from RNAcentral. Lineage: Eukaryota; Viridiplantae; Streptophyta; Magnoliopsida; Brassicales; Caricaceae.
UUCACCACAUUAGACAUUCGAGGCAGCAACCCCAACGACUCGUAAAUUUAGGUCAUUGAAUUUCAUCAUUUUGCUCGCAUGUGAGCACCACCAGAUUUACUGACGAAGCAACGCCACAGAGGUGUACUCCUGCGAUUCUGUUCGGUUAAUAUUAUUCAAGGGAAAAGAGCUUACACAAGGUCAUUUUCGUUCGAUCUUCUCUGCUAUCACUCAGAUUGUGCUCCUUCCUUCUCAUUAAUUCCUAAUCAAAUCACUAAUCCUCGUGAUUUUAUAUCUAUGCACACCCUUCAAUUGAGAUUCACUCCAUCCCACUCAUUUUUAUUAACUUAAACAUCGAUUGCAGAAUCCAAUUCAUCCUUAUUUUAUUUAAAAACAAAAAUUCAGAAGUAAACUCUUCCUAAUCGAGUUGUGCAUUACAAAUUUACUUACCUUACUUUUGUAGUCGUUGCUAGCUCGUAGUAUGGCUCCAUUUCCCGUUCCUCUCUGUCUGUUUGUUCCUAGUUGAGGAUUUUUGUACAGCUUCCUCUAUUCUCCUCUCUCAGUCGAGUCUCUCUCCCUCUCCCUCCUUUCUGU